RNAcentral lists this ribosomal RNA (111 nucleotides) under Helianthus annuus (common sunflower). The record is from RNAcentral. Lineage: Eukaryota; Viridiplantae; Streptophyta; Magnoliopsida; Asterales; Asteraceae.
GGCAAAUCCCACAUCGGCCUGGAGCACAUGAAAACUCUACAGUUAAGCGUGCUCAAGUGGGAGUAGUACCAGGAUGGGUGACCGUCUAGGACGUCCCCACUGGGGCAACCA